AUGCAAGCUUGUUCUAUGUUACUAGGAAGGCCAUGGCAAUAUGAUAAACAAUGUUUACAUAAUGGUAGAACUAAUCAGUACACUCUCACACAUAAAGGAAAGAAAAUCAUUCUACACCCUAUGUCUCCUGAGCAAAUUUUAAAAGAUGAUCUUGCUAGGGCUAGUAGAAACACAAAUAUUGAGCAUACUCAAUCUGAAAAUCAGAAAGUUGUUGAUGAGUUAGAACAAUUUAAUAAGCUGCACAAAUCUGAUCCUAGCACAUCUAAAGAAAUUAAAUUGAAAGGUGUAUCUUUCUUAGCUACACGUGCUGAAAUUUUUGAGUUAGAUGCUCAUACUGAUGAAUGUUAUGCUCUUAUUUGCAAAGAAGUUUUGUUUUCAUUUGAGGAUAUGCCUUCUUCUUUGCCUCCUGUUGUCGCUAACCUUUUGCAGGAGUAUCAUGAUGUUUUUCCAAAGGAAGUACCACCGGGGCUGCCACCUAUGAGAGGAAUUGAACAUCAAAUUGACUUGAUCCCUGGCGCCUCAUUACCCAACCGUGUGCCGUACCGGACUAAUCCAGAGGAGACUAAGGAGAUUCAGCGACAAGUUCAUGAACUACUUGAAAAAGGUUACAUUCGUGAAUCCCUUAGUCCAUGUGCUGUACCAAUUUUACUUGUUCCUAAAAAAGACGGUACUUCGCGUAUGUGUGUUGAUUGUAGAGCCAUCAAUAAUAUUACAAUUCGAUAUCAUCAUCCUAUUCCUAGAUUAGAUGACAUGCUUGAUGAACUCAGUGGCUCAAUUGUGUUUUCUAAAGUGGACUUGCGUAGUGGCUACCAUCAAAUUCGUAUGAAACUAGGUGAUGAAUGGAAAACUGCUUUCAAAACUAAAUUUGGUUUAUAUGAGUGGUUAGUUAUGCCUUUUGGAUUGACUAAUGCACCUAGUACUUUCAUGAGACUAAUGAAUUAA
RNAcentral lists this ribosomal RNA (942 nucleotides) under Triticum aestivum (bread wheat). RNAcentral describes it as "partial small subunit ribosomal RNA". Lineage: Eukaryota; Viridiplantae; Streptophyta; Magnoliopsida; Poales; Poaceae. The record is from RNAcentral.